RNA transcript from Brassica rapa (field mustard), 3235 nucleotides. It is a transcript of the gene named exonuclease 1, with no coding region annotated. The record is from RefSeq and is a predicted model, not a curated record. Lineage: Eukaryota; Viridiplantae; Streptophyta; Magnoliopsida; Brassicales; Brassicaceae.
UCAUAAUUUGUUUAAUGUCUAAUCCGAUCAAUCCAUGAUAUAUUAACUAUAGUGUAGUUCCACAACUUUUUUAAAAAUUGAUCCGGUCAAUCAGGAAAAAAUUAUAUAAUAACAACAAAAAAACAUUGUAUAUGUAUAAAUAAAAUGAUUAAAUAUAUUAAAAAAAUUAUCGAUAAUGUAUACAAAUAAAUUCACAUUGCCCAAGGCACAAGUUCUAUCCUAGUUUAAAAUAAUUUUAAACUCUUUAUAGUAAAAAGUUACUCAAAUUUUUGUAUUUUUACUAAAAAAAAAAAAAAUCAUAUACAUAUUCAAUACUGGCCCAAACAUUUUAGAGACUCAACAUUUUAAUGCAUGAAGCAUUUUAAAAAAUGUCGCGUCUCUAGUUUCAUAACAAAAUAAUUUAAAAAAUGUUGGCUAGGAAUGUCCGUUCCUUUCAUAAAUCUUUUUUUUUUAUUGGUUGUUCUAUUCCGGUCAGUUUACCUAAAUCAUCUCAAGUUUGAGAUAUAUAGAAUAGCCGUUUGUUGCAAAAAAAAAAAAGCAAAUAAUUUAAUUAUAUUCUUUAAAAAAACAAUAAUUCAAUAUAAAUUCUCCAAAAAAAAAAAAAAAAUUUGCAAUAAGUAAUAGAGAUGGGCUGGGAAUAUAUAUACGUUGGGCCAUUGUAAGAGUGUGGAAUCAACAAUUGGUAAAAAUCCCCAAUUACAACUUUUCCCGCUACAUCUGCGAAAAUCGUCCUGAAAUGUCAUCGUCGCGGCGAAAUUAGGGUUUAGAUAUAUAGUCCUUCAUUCCGAUCGAAUUGGAGGAAAUGGGUAUUCAAGGGCUUCUGCCAUUGCUGAAAUCGAUUAUGGCUCCGGUACAUAUCCACGACCUCGAGGGUUGUACCGUCGCCGUUGAUACCUAUUCCUGGCUUCACAAAGGCGCCCUCUCUUGCAGCCGAGACCUCUGCAAGGGUUUGCCCACCGCCAGGCAUAUUCAAUACUGUAUGCAUAGAGUGAAUUUACUCCGCCACCAUGGGGUGAAGCCUCUUCUUGUCUUCGAUGGAGGUCCGCUUCCUAUGAAACUUGAACAAGAGAAUAAGCGUGCUAGGUCCAGAAAGGAAAAUCUUGCACGUGCAUUGGAGCAUGAAGCAAAUGGAAAUUCCUCGGCUGCGUAUGAGUGUUAUCAAAAGGCUGUUGACAUUUCACCUUCUAUUGCACAUGAGUUGAUACAGGUUCUGAGGCAGGAGAAUGUCGAUUACAUUGUUGCUCCUUACGAAGCUGAUGCCCAGAUGACGUUUUUGGCUAUUACUAAGCAAGUUGAUGCCAUCAUCACUGAGGAUUCUGAUCUUAUUCCUUUUGGCUGCCCAAGAAUCAUCUUUAAAAUGGACAAGUUUGGCCAUGGUGUUGAGUUUCAAGCCUCCAACCUGCCCAGAAAUAAAGAGCUCAGCCUUUCUGGAUUUUCAAGCCAGAUGCUUCUCGAGAUGUGCAUAUUGAGUGGCUGCGAUUAUUUGCAGUCACUUCCAGGAAUGGGACUCAAAAGAGCUCAUACACUCAUUACAAAGUUCAAAAGCUAUGAUAGGGUAAUCAAGCACUUAAAGUACAGCACAGUUUCAGUUCCUCCUCUAUAUGAAGAGUCAUUCAAGAAAGCUAUGCUGACUUUCAAGCAUCAACGGGUCUAUGACCCCAAAUCUGAAGACGUUGUACACUUGUCUUGCAUUUCUGAAGACAUUGGCGAAGAUUCAGACUUUGUAGGCCCAUCGAUGCCACAACAUAUUGCUAAGGGUAUAGCACUGGGGCAGCUUGAUCCAUUCACGCAGUUGCCUUUCCAGGCUGAGGGUGUCACUCCUAAGUUGGCUGUUGAUGCUAUUUCCCGCCCCAGAAGUUUCAAACCUGAAAAUCUGAAGAAAAAGCUUGAGUUGCCAGUCCAGAAAAACCUGCUCACCAAAUAUUUCUGCUUUGCAUCUCUUGAGGCAAAAAGAAAGUUCAAGGCUCCGAGGAUAUCACCAAUGUCUCUGACGCCAACAGGGGAGUCUCCAAGCACUCCUGAGGACAAUUCAACAGAUGUGGAUGCUCCUUCGAGUCAGACAACAAAUGAAUCCCCGGUUUACAGCUUGGGGGAGAAUACUGGCAAAGUUGCAGAGAAAAGAGAAUCACCCGACUAUGAUGCGGUGGAAAGGAAUUACAAGGACCUUGAUCAUAAGUACAUUUACCAGCACGUGGAGAGGCAGAAGAAGACGAAGACGGAUAUUGUAGUAAGAAGCAAAUAUUUCAAGCAGAAGCAGGAUGACAAAAGUCUUAAAGAAUCUCUCCCAUGUUUCAAUGAUUGCUCUGUGAUCGGCCAGAGAAAGACUGUUAAUACUGUGCUAAACAAGUCAAGCGCAUCUACGAUAGAAGAGACUGACAGAGCUAUAUCAACAAGUUCAUGUGAGCGUAUCUACAACGAUCAUGAAGUUGCCAAAGAAGCGAGUAUCUUUGCCAUGAACGAGGUGGCUGAGAGAACAACAAACAGACACGAGAUAGACCAUGAGAUCGAUAAAGAAGAACAGAACCCAUCCGUUGAGAUCCUUUCCGCCUUUAGUACUCCCGAGGAUGCUAUACCUCUCAACUCCAUUGGUACUUAUAGUUUUUGUGGAGCUGCAACAGGGAAAAGGAAGCUUGAGCCAGAAGAAAACCUUCAUAAGGAAAAUCUGAACUCCAAGCACAUGCGCAUAGACGAAACAGAUCCUGGUAAUGCAGAAACAUCAUUUGAAACCAACAACGAUGUUGAGAAGUUUGGAUCCAACAUUUCGCAUAUAGGGCAGUACUCGGAAAUAGCAGAGAAAUCAGUGGAAAGAUUUGUCUCAGCUAUAUCAUCUUUUAGAUACUCUGGUCCUGGCUCUCGUGCUAGUGGUCUGCGUGCACCUCUCAAAGACAUCCGCAACACUUGUCCGUCCAAAGGGUUAUCUUCUAAACUGGACUUCAGCAAGUUUGGCUAUGCAUCAAGCAGCGCAACAAAAUCAAGGCGAUUGUGAGUUCAGUUUUGUAAGUUAACCAAAUGUGAACGAUUUUAGCAGAAGCAAAGGCUUUUGCUGUGGAAAUUUCUUGGUUGCAUUACAUUGUUGUUGUUUUGGUCUUUGUAUUGUAUGAGUAUAUCUUAGCUUUCCAUUGUGCGGACCAUUCUUGUUCAUAGAUUCUUUUGCCCAACAACUUGAUCCUUAAGUUGGGGGGAAAACCGGAAAAGUUCUCAUUGCCAUUUCUUGGAAAUUACUUCUAUUUAUUGA